Xenopus laevis (African clawed frog) is the source of this 995-nucleotide long non-coding RNA. RefSeq lists it as uncharacterized. The transcript has 2 exons. NCBI's taxonomy places the organism in Eukaryota, Metazoa, Chordata, Amphibia, Anura, Pipidae. The record is from RefSeq and is a predicted model, not a curated record.
ACAAGUGCAGAGAAUAACAGUAGCACUGCUCUGCAUUCACUUCCCUUCGGAGAGGAUCACGUUGGUGUUUCAGCAGAAGAUGGUUGACAAGGCGUAGAAUUAGAGUGCAUAAAACAAGACAUAACUUGUUAUGCUCUCCCACACACAUCUAUUAUAAAAAGGAUCCAGGCCGUUGCUCCACAUGUACUCUCAAAUCAAGUUCUAAAUCCUUCUUGGCUACAGUACAAAUCCUUAAUCAUUCUGUGACCUCCACGGAACUUGAAUAUUGAAUAACUGGUCUACAUAUUUGGAUUAUGAAGAAAAAUUAAAUGCCAGUGGAAACAUGGUAUAGUUUGCCUUUGAAUAAAUCUGGAAGGAUGCAUAAUGAAAUUUCAAUGGAAGCUAUAUUUAAUGUGCUAAAUAUGUUUUUGUAUAUGUGUAUAUGGUCCCUUUAAUGCUUGCACUGAUUUUUUUAUUCCUGCACCUCGGGUCUCCUUUAUCAUAUAGUAUUUUGCAUUCUCCUGACACAGGCUCUAUUUUCCUUUUCAAGAAACACAACCCACUGCUGCAUCACAGACAAAAUAAUUUAUGAUAAUCCAUCUGGAAUCAUGUUAUUAUGGAAUGCCCAUCUUGAAAUAAUCUCCCCCAUACAUUUUUUAUGGAAAUCCCCAAACUCAUAAUAAAAUUCAUAAUAAUUAGGUAGGAUUAACGAUUACUAUUUUUUCUUUUAAUUACUGUAUGUAUACCUUAUACUAUCUUCUUUAGUUGUACUUCCACAUAAACGUUAAUUGUCAAGCUAAUAAUACUAAAUACUAAUUACUACAACUUGUUAUUGAGCUAUGUUCCCCUUGCUAAGAAGACACUGAAGAUCAUCAUUUUGGACAUUUUUUUUUAUGUUGGUACAUUACCAUGAUCUUAAUAUAUGGAUAUAUGUUAUUAUGUAUUGCAAAUGCAUUUUAUGACAGCCUUCAUAAUUUAUCUGUUUCAGCCAUGCAUAAAUAUGAGAUUUCUUUGUA